Molecule: long non-coding RNA, 812 nt
Organism: Helicoverpa zea (corn earworm)
Lineage: Eukaryota; Metazoa; Arthropoda; Insecta; Lepidoptera; Noctuidae
Exons: 2
Source: RefSeq, a predicted model, not a curated record
UAUACAUAUAUAUCGGCAGAAUUGUUUAGAGUUGUUAUUUCAUUUAAAAAGUUGAAAUCCUAAAUAAAUUAAGUAUGGAAAGUGGUAGUAGUGACAACGAAAGUGCGUCAAAUUCUAGUGCGCCGCUAACGCCAAUUAAAAAGCGAAAAAUUACAAAAGGACUCCAAAAAUUUAAACCGGAGUGGGAAAGAGAGUAUGGCUGGAUUACUGAAGAUUCCCAAAAUAUUUAUAAUGCGAAAUGUAAACAUUGUAAUAUAACAUUUUCUGUGGGGAAAAGUGGCAUUGGCCAGAUUAAACAACAUAGUGAAACAAAGCACCACAAACUUAAAACUGAACUUUACAAGAAAACUUCUACAUUAGACAGGUUUUUUGGUUCGACGGGCUCUUCAUCUACCUCUCUUACUUGUGAUGAUAAGAUUUCAGCCAGUGAACUUGCUUUAACCUACCAUAUUGUAAAACACAAUCUUUCUUAUAACAGCAUGGACUGUACUGUAAAAUUAAACAAAAUCAUUUAUGCUGAUUCUAAAACCGCUUUGAACAUAAAAUUAGGACGCACUAAAAUGGAAGCACUGGUUAAUGAGGUUUUGGGACCUUAUGCAUUACAAACUUUAUUGAAUGACUUAAAUGCUCCUAAUUUUAUAUUUUUGUUUGCAAACUGAUGCAAGUAAUAGAAAAAAUAUUAAAUUAUUUCCUUUAGUUGUACAAUAUUUUGAUAUUGAGAAUAGGAUACAAAACAAGUUAUUAGACUUUUACGAAAAUUGUGAUGAAUCUGCAAACGGUAUGUUUGAUGCUAUAAACAGUUCACUAUCCUA